AAAUAAAUUCCACGCAUUCGAACGGAUCGGCAAACAAAUCUUUCUGCCGUCCGCGUAACAUAUUUUCCUCGUUUCGCGCUCCACAUUCAACCCUUGGUAACGGGGCUAUCGACGCUCAAUUAAAGAUCACCCCACGCGCUUCGCGCUAGUCGAGGAG
Apis florea (little honeybee) is the source of this 157-nucleotide long non-coding RNA. NCBI's taxonomy places the organism in Eukaryota, Metazoa, Arthropoda, Insecta, Hymenoptera, Apidae. The record is from RefSeq and is a predicted model, not a curated record.